GUAGAGACGGGGUUUCGCCAUGUUGGCCAUGCUGGUCUCAAACUCCUGACCUCAGGUAAUCCACCCGCCUCAGCCUCCCAAAGUGCUGGGAUUACAGGCGUGAGCGACUGCGCCCGGCCCCCUGUAACAGUUUCUUUUGUCCUCUCAUGGGUAUUUCUCUGAGUCUAGGAAUAGCAUAGGGACAUUGCUAUAUGGUAUUAAAUGCUCUAGUGGGAGUCCCUUCUUUUUCAUCUUUCCUUCCACUUGUUGCCACGGGGCACACACAUCCCCUGCUCCCCGCUCACCGCGUUGGAACCCAGGACAGGAGUCCAGCUGCUCUCUGAACAGAAGGGCCUCUCACCGUACUGCUUCAUCAGCGCGGAGGUGGUGCACUGGCUGGUGAACCACGUGGAGGGGAUCCAGACACAGGCGAUGGCCAUCGACAUCAUGCAGAAAAUGCUGGAAGAGCAGCUCAUCACACACGCAUCUGGCGAAGCCUGGCGGACCUUCAUCUACGGCUUCUAUUUCUACAAGAUAGUAACGGACAAAGAGCCCGACCGAGUGGCCAUGCAGCAGCCCGCCACCACCUGGCACACAGCAGGAGUGGACGACUUCGCCAGCUUCCAGCGCAAGUGGUUUGAGGUGGCCUUUGUGGCAGAAGAGCUCGUACACUCUGAGAUUCCUGCCUUUCUCCUGCCCUGGCUGCCCAGCCGGCCAGCCUCCUAUGCAAGUAG
Molecule: small RNA, 713 nt
Filed under: Pongo abelii (Sumatran orangutan)
Lineage: Eukaryota; Metazoa; Chordata; Mammalia; Primates; Hominidae
Description: retained intron
Source: RNAcentral